This 425-nucleotide ribosomal RNA is filed under the name uncultured bacterium. Its description in RNAcentral is "partial 16S ribosomal RNA". It matches the Rfam family "Bacterial small subunit ribosomal RNA", at positions 354 to 796 of the family's 1533-position model. The record is from RNAcentral.
GUGGGGAAUAUUGCGCAAUGGGGGAAACCCUGACGCAGCGACGCCGCGUGAAGGAAGACGUACUUCGGUAUGUAAACUUCUAUCAGCAGGGAAGAAGAUGACGGUACCUGACUAAGAAGCCCCGGCUAACUACGUGCCAGCAGCCGCGGUAAUACGUAGGGGGCAAGCGUUAUCCGGAUUUACUGGGUGUAAAGGGAGCGUAGACGGUGAAGCAAGUCUGAUGUGAAAACCCGGGGCUCAACUCCGGGAUUGCAUUGGAAACUGUUUUACUUGAGUGCUGGAGGGGCAAGCGGAAUUCCUGGUGUAGCGGUGAAAUGCGUAGAUAUCAGGAAGAACACCGGUGGCGAAGGCGGCUUGCUGGACAGUAACUGACGUUGAGGCUCGAAAGCGUGGGGAGCAAACAGGAUUAGAUACCCCAGUAGUCC